This 1380-nucleotide ribosomal RNA is filed under the name Pimoa sp. CG73. RNAcentral describes it as "eukaryotic LSU rRNA". It matches the Rfam family "Eukaryotic large subunit ribosomal RNA", at positions 52 to 1162 of the family's 3401-position model. The record is from RNAcentral. Lineage: Eukaryota; Metazoa; Arthropoda; Arachnida; Araneae; Pimoidae.
GGAGGAAAAGAAACCAACAGGGAUUCCCUGAGUAACGGCGAGCGAAAAGGGAAGAGCCCAGCGCCGAAUCCCCAGCUCGCAAGGGCGAGGGGAAAUGUGGCGUUUAGGAGUGAGCGUGCCGGUGGUCGACUCUGCAGCAAGUCCCCCUGACCGGGGCUGUUACCCAGAGUGGGUGCGAGGCCCAUAGCUGCUAGGUCUCCUCCGGAUGCGAUCUCCUUGGAGUCGGGUUGCUUGGGAGUGCAACCCUAAUCGGGUGGUAAACUCCACCUAAGGCUAAAUACUGCCGUGAGACCGAUAGCAAACAAGUACCGUGAGGGAAAGUUGCAAAGAACUUUGAAGAGAGAGUUCAAGAGUACGUGAAACUGCUCAGAGGUAAACGGGUGGGCCCUCGAAAUCCUGUGGCGGGAGGAUUCAGUCGGGAGGCGUGGACGCUUUGCUCCAAUUUGGGUCCCGAGACCGGGCCGUUCCUGUGAAGCGCUUCCGUGCCACCCGACGCAUUUGUUUCCCGUCCGAAGGACGCCGCAACCGGUUGGGAGACGGCCUUAAGGGCGAGAGCGGCAGGUGGCCGGUGGCGGGGACUCUGUCUCCGUCGCCGGUUGUUAGCCGUCUCGUCGCACGGCCCGUAGCCCGACCGUGGUGUCGCGAGGCCCCUCAUGGGCCUCUCCGCCUCCUCCUGAAAAGGUAGCGAGUAAGAACCCGGCAGGAGUUCGACCCCCUGCGGGCGCACGGACCGACUCCGUGGCCCAGCGUCGCGGUCGUCUUCGUUGGCCGGGACGGGCUCGUCGGAGUGUCGGCGGUUGGCGGCGAGUAGAUCGGUCACCCACCCGACCCGUCUUGAAACACGGACCAAGGAGUCUAACAUGUGUGCGAGUCAAUGGGUCUCGAAUAAGCCCAGAGGCGCAAUGAAAGCAAAGGCCGGAGGUAUCCGCGCCGCGUUGGGAUCCCCGCUCCACCGCGGGCGGGGCGCACCAACGACCCGUCCUGUUCCACUUGUGGAUUGGGCGGAGUCCGAGCAUACACGUUGGGACCCGAAAGAUGGUGAACUAUGCCCGGGCAGGACGAGGCCAGAGGAAACUCUGGUGGAGGUCCGUAGCGGUUCUGACGUGCAAAUCGAUCGUCAGAUCCGGGUCUAGGGGCGAAAGACUAAUCGAACCAUCUAGUAGCUGGUUCCCUCCGAAGUUUCCCUCAGGAUAGCUGGCGCUCGGAGAUAUCAGUCUCAUCCGGUAAAGCGAAUGAUUAGAGGCCUUGGGGCCGAAACGACCUCAACCUAUUCUCAAACUUUAAAUGGGUGAGAAGUCCGCCUUGCAUGACUGAAGGCCGGACGUUACGGAUGAGAGUGCCCAGUGGGCCACUUUUGGUAAGCAGAACUGGCGCUGUGGG